This 679-nucleotide long non-coding RNA is filed under the name Homo sapiens (human). Its description in RNAcentral is "HSALNT0341944". Lineage: Eukaryota; Metazoa; Chordata; Mammalia; Primates; Hominidae. The record is from RNAcentral.
GACCGGAGCUGUUCCUAUUUGGCCAUCUUGGCUCCUCCCCCGACAAUUUCUAAUCAAGGCCAUGAAGCUACAGAUGGUCUUACAAAUGGAACCCCAAAUGAGCUCAACUAACAACUUCUACUGAGGACCCCUGGACCGACCCACUGGCCCUUUCACUGGUCUAAAGAGUUCCCCUCUGGAGGACACUACAACUGCAGGGCCCCUUCUUUGCCCCUCUCUGGCAGGAAGUAGCUAGAGCGGUCAUCGUCCAAUUCCCAAAAGCAGUUGAGAAAAAGUCAUAAGAUCAGCAAGAAGAGAAACUGUAGAUUUGCCUCAACUCAACAUGUUAAGUAAUCGCCUGACAUCUACAUAAGACCACCUCUUGGCACCUGGCUACACAAGCUGAAAUGGUAAAACUCCUUGAGAAACCACACAAGGAUGGAAUACUUGCUUAGAGACAUGAGAGUAGCCUAGAAUCUAAGAAUCUGUACUUCCUUCUACAGUUGUCUUUGGAAAAAGAAUAGACAUUCAUGGCAGACCAAAGAUCACUCUCUGAAGGUGUUAUGUGAGAAAUCCACACAGGAGAAACCCAAGAAAACCACGCAGGUAAAUGCUAGCCUGGAAAGACAGAGGGAAAACAUGCCAAGUGGAGCCCACCACAAGGACAGCAGUCAGAGCCCAAGAGCCCAGCUUUAAAAGG